GACGAACGCUGGCGGCGUGCUUAACACAUGCAAGUCGAACGGAAAGGCCCUGCUUUUGUGGGGUGCUCGAGUGGCGAACGGGUGAGUAACACGUGAGUAACCUGCCCUUGACUUUGGGAUAACUUCAGGAAACUGGGGCUAAUACCGGAUAGGAGUUCCUGCUGCAUGGUGGGGGUUGGAAAGUUUCGGCGGUUGGGGAUGGACUCGCGGCUUAUCAGCUUGUUGGUGGGGUAGUGGCUUACCGAGGCUUUGACGGGUAGCCGGCCUGAGAGGGUGACCGGCCACAUGGGGACUGAGAUACGGCCCAGACGCAUACGGGAGGCAGCAGUGGGGAAUAUUGCACAAUGGGCGGAAGCCUGAUGCAGCAACGCCGCGUGCGGGAUGACGGCCUUCGGGUGGUAAACCGCUUUCGCCUGUGACGAAGCGUGAGUGACGGUAAUGGGUAAAGAAGCACCGGCUAACUACGU
Molecule: ribosomal RNA, 467 nt
Filed under: uncultured bacterium
Lineage: Bacteria
Description: partial 16S ribosomal RNA
Rfam family: Bacterial small subunit ribosomal RNA
Source: RNAcentral